GAUAAACGCUGGCGGCGCACAUAAGACAUGCAAGUUGAACGGACUUAAUCGAAAUAUUUAUAUUUUGAAGCGGUUAGUGGCGGACUGGUGAGUAACGCGUAAGGAACCUGCCUAUUAGAGGGGAAUAACAGUGAGAAAUCAUUGCUAAUACCGCAUAUGCCAUAGAUAUCACAUGAUAACAGUGGGCAAGGAGCAAUCCGCUAAUAGAUGGCCUUGCGUCUGAUUAGAUAGUUGGUGGGGUAACGGCCUACCAAGUCGACGAUCAGUAGCCGGACUGGGAGGUUGAACGGCGACGUUGGGACUGAGAUCCGGACCAGUAUCCUACGGGGGGCAGCAGUAGGGAAUAUUGCGCAAUGGAGGAAACUCUAACGCAGUGACGCCGGGUAUAGGAAGAAGGUUUUCGGAUUGUAAUCUAUUGUCGUUAGGGAAGAGAGAGGACAGAACCUAUAGAGGAAGCUCGGGCUAACUACGU
RNAcentral lists this ribosomal RNA (472 nucleotides) under uncultured bacterium. RNAcentral's name for it is "partial 16S ribosomal RNA". It matches the Rfam family "Bacterial small subunit ribosomal RNA", at positions 28 to 506 of the family's 1533-position model. The record is from RNAcentral.